RNAcentral lists this ribosomal RNA (253 nucleotides) under uncultured bacterium. RNAcentral describes it as "partial 16S ribosomal RNA". It matches the Rfam family "Bacterial small subunit ribosomal RNA", at positions 524 to 776 of the family's 1533-position model. The record is from RNAcentral.
UACGUAGGGGGCAAGCGUUGUCCGGAUUCAUUGGGCGUAAAGAGCGUGUAGGCGGCCAGGUAGGUCGGUUGUGAAAACUGGAGGCUCAACCUUCAGAGGUCGACCGAAACCAUCUGGCUAGAGUCCGGGAGAGGAGAGUGGAAUUCCUGGUGUAGCGGUGAAAUGCGCAGAUAUCAGGAAGAACACCCGUGGCGAAAGCGGCUCUCUGGAACGGUACUGACGCUGAGACGCGAAAGUGUGGGGAGCGAACAGG